Long non-coding RNA from Salvelinus sp. IW2-2015, 565 nucleotides. RefSeq lists it as uncharacterized. NCBI's taxonomy places the organism in Eukaryota, Metazoa, Chordata, Actinopteri, Salmoniformes, Salmonidae. The record is from RefSeq and is a predicted model, not a curated record.
UCCACAAGGAGACUGCCUGUUACGCGAAUGCAGUAAGCCAAGGAUGACAUCUUCAUCCAUGAAAAGGUUUUCAUCCUGGAGGAGACUGUGCAGGAGGCAGAGGAGGAAGGAACGGUUAGUACAGCAUGCCAAACUGACCCCUGGGUGCCAGAGUGUUCCUGUGCUGCGGUGGAGAAGAGGUCCACCGGGACCAUCAUUAAAGAGCUCGGGGCCCAGCUCACAAUCAUCGCUCACAACCAUCAGUAUACAACCGAGUCCUGCCCCUAUAUGCCACAGAUGGAGCUGACGGAGAGCGAGAUCAGUGAAGACCAGAACUCGCUGUAUGAACCUGAGAGCUCAGAAUCACUAUCAUCACAGUGCGAACCAAGAUAUACUAUCGAUCACUUUGGGGGAGCGGGAUGGUGUUCUGAAAAUGGAGAGGAGCAGGCCAUUCAACAGCGAAUUCAAAGAUACACCCAUCCACAAAGGGAAUCAGAGUGGAAUUGUUUUUACACUGAUUUUUUUUACCUGUUUCAACAGACCUGCUACCUUGUCCCGGUCCUGCUGUUUCGACUCUCUCUCUCAA